GUGCUUGCUUCUGCAGCACAUGUGCUAAAAUUGGAAUAGAGAAGAUUAGUAUGGCACCUGUAAAAGGAUAACAUGAAAAUUUUUGAAGUGGAUCUUGAGAGU
RNAcentral lists this small nuclear RNA (102 nucleotides) under Neotoma lepida (desert woodrat). Lineage: Eukaryota; Metazoa; Chordata; Mammalia; Rodentia; Cricetidae. The record is from RNAcentral.